GGAUGUAAGGGCGAUCUGGCUGUGACAUCUGUUACCCCAUUGAUCGCCAGGGUUGAUUCAGCUAAUCUGGCUAGCUAGGCGGGUGUCCCUUCCUCUCUCACCACUCCAUGUUUGUCUCUCCUCAAGAUGCACACUCAGUCAAAGAGGAUGACUUUCCCGAAUAGAGGAGGACCUAUCUGCAGCAAGGGUAUAUGAGUAGCUGUGCUCCCCUGCUGCCUCCAAAGAAGCUCUCAGAUACAUAAAAUAUUUAUAAAGGAUUAAAAGAAGACACAAAUUAGAAAGGAAGAGAUCAAACUACCGUUAUUU
This 306-nucleotide small nuclear RNA is filed under the name Jaculus jaculus (lesser Egyptian jerboa). RNAcentral describes it as "7SK RNA (ENSJJAG00000001317.1)". It matches the Rfam family "7SK RNA". Rfam says of the family: 7SK was discovered as an abundant small nuclear RNA in the mid-70s but a possible function has only recently been suggested. Two independent studies have found that 7SK RNA binds the CDK9/cyclin T complex (known as elongation factor P-TEFb). P-TEFb activates transcription by phosphorylating the C-terminal domain of RNA polymerase II. The record is from RNAcentral. Lineage: Eukaryota; Metazoa; Chordata; Mammalia; Rodentia; Dipodidae.